UACGUAGGUGGCGAGCGUUGUCCGGAUUUACUGGGCGUAAAGAGCGCGCAGGCGGUCGUGCAAGUCGCGUGUGAAAGCCCCCGGCUCAACUGGGGAGGGUCACGCGAUACUGCUCGACUUGAAGGCAGGAGAGGGAAGUGGAAUUCCCGGUGUAGUGGUGGAAUGCGUAGAGAUCCGGAGGAACACCAGCGGCGAAGGCGGCGUCCUGGACUGGUACUGACGCUCAGGAGCGAAAGCGUGGGGAGCGAUCCGG
Molecule: ribosomal RNA, 253 nt
Filed under: uncultured bacterium
Lineage: Bacteria
Description: partial 16S ribosomal RNA
Rfam family: Bacterial small subunit ribosomal RNA
Source: RNAcentral